Molecule: ribosomal RNA, 467 nt
Filed under: uncultured bacterium
Lineage: Bacteria
Description: partial 16S ribosomal RNA
Rfam family: Bacterial small subunit ribosomal RNA
Source: RNAcentral
GAUGAACGCUGGCGGCGUGCUUAACACAUGCAAGUCGACCGGAAAGGCUCCUGCUUGCAGGGGUACUCGAGUGGCGAACGGGUGAGUAACACGUGGGUGAUCUGCCCUGCACUUCGGGAUAAGCCUGGGAAACUGGGUCUAAUACCGGAUAGGACCACAUUUUGGAUGGUGUGGUGGAAAGUUUUUCGGUGUGGGAUGAGCUCGCGGCCUAUCAGCUUGUUGGUGGGGUAAUGGCCUACCAAGGCGUCGACGGGUAGCCGGCCUGAGAGGGUGUACGGCCACAUUGGGACUGAGAUACGGCCCAGACUCCUACGGGAGGCAGCAGUGGGGAAUAUUGCACAAUGGGCGCAAGCCUGAUGCAGCGACGCCGCGUGGGGGAUGACGGCCUUCGGGUUGUAAACUCCUGUCGCUAGGGACGAAGCGUUUUUGUGACGGUACCUGGAGAAGAAGCACCGGCUAACUACGUG